GUGUCAGCAGCCGCGGUAAUACAGAGGUCCCAAGCGUUGUUCGGAUUCACUGGGCGUAAAGGGUGCGUAGGAGGCCAGGUAAGUCUGAUGUGAAAUCUCGAAGCCUAACUUCGAAACUGCAUUGGAUACUAUCUGGCUUGAGGAAUGGAGGGGAGACUGGAAUGCUCGGUGUAGCAGUGAAAUGCGUAGAUAUUGAGCGGAACACCAGUGGCGAAGGCGAGUCUCUGGACAUUUCCUGACGCUGAGGCACGAAAGCCAGGGGAGCAAACGGGAUUAGAAACCCCCGUAGUCC
Molecule: ribosomal RNA, 292 nt
Filed under: uncultured bacterium
Lineage: Bacteria
Description: partial 16S ribosomal RNA
Rfam family: Bacterial small subunit ribosomal RNA
Source: RNAcentral